This 460-nucleotide ribosomal RNA is filed under the name uncultured bacterium. Its description in RNAcentral is "partial 16S ribosomal RNA". It matches the Rfam family "Bacterial small subunit ribosomal RNA", at positions 338 to 795 of the family's 1533-position model. The record is from RNAcentral.
CCUACGGGAGGCAGCAGUGAGGAAUAUUGGUCAAUGGGCGUAAGCCUGAACCAGCCAAGUCGCGUGAGGGAUGAAGGUUCUAUGGAUCGUAAACCUCUUUUAUAAGGGAAUAAAGUGCGGGACGUGUCCCGUUUUGUAUGUACCUUAUGAAUAAGGAUCGGCUAACUCCGUGCCAGCAGCCGCGGUAAUACGGAGGAUCUGAGCGUUGUCCGGAUUUAUUGGGUUUAAAGGGUGCGUAGGCGGCCUUUUAAGUCAGGGGUGAAAGUCUGUGGCUCAACCAUAGAAUUGCCGUUGAAACUGGGAGGCUUGAGUAUGUUUGAGGCAGGGGGAAUGCGUGGUGUAGCGGUGAAAUGCUUAGAUAUCACGCAGAACCCCGAUUGCGAAGGCAGCCUGCUAAGCCAUGACUGACGCUGAUGCACGAAAGCGUGGGGAUCAAACAGGAUUAGAUACCCGAGUAGUC